Molecule: long non-coding RNA, 610 nt
Organism: Sander lucioperca (pikeperch)
Lineage: Eukaryota; Metazoa; Chordata; Actinopteri; Perciformes; Percidae
Exons: 3
Source: RefSeq, a predicted model, not a curated record
UGGAGACACACACACACACACACACAGAGACACACGCACACACACACACACACACACACACACACACACACACAGACACACAAUGUGAGAUUAAACUCGAGUUAACCAGGACUAUCAUGUGAUUAACGGUGAAUAAAUUAAAUAUGUUAAUCUGUUAGUUAACCUGCAGUAGGUUGUUUCUCAUCAUCCAGCCCCCCCAAACCUGACCCUAAAAACUGACUAAAUCAAGUGCUCCUCCCCGUGACAACAUUACUAAAACAACUGAAGAAAAACAAACACAAAAACCACCAAAAUAAAGUUAAAAACUGGGCUGCUGCCGGACCUGGUCUGAUCCAGUCUGGUGGGUCUCUGAGGUCUGGGUCUGAUCCAGUCUGGUGGGUCUUUGAGGUCUGGGUCUGAUCCAGUCUGGUGGGUCUUUGAGGUCUGGGUCUGAUCCAAUCUGGUGGGUCUUUGAGGUCUGGGUCUGAUCCAGUCUGGUGGGUCUUUGAGGUCUGGGUCUGAUCCAGUCUGGUGGGUCUUUGAGGUCUGGGUCUGAUCCAGUCUGGUGGGUCUUUGAGGGUGUCGGAGAAGAGGUAGCGCCCCCUUUUAACACCCACGAUGAGGCUGGUCU